This is a long non-coding RNA of Musa acuminata AAA Group (dessert banana), 2211 nucleotides long. RefSeq lists it as uncharacterized. The record is from RefSeq and is a predicted model, not a curated record. The transcript has 2 exons. NCBI's taxonomy places the organism in Eukaryota, Viridiplantae, Streptophyta, Magnoliopsida, Zingiberales, Musaceae.
AGUCUUCUUCUGUCGUACGCCUCGGUCUGCGCAACUCAACCACUCCAUCCAAAUCUGAUGUUUUACAUCUCCCAUCUCCCUCCGAAACCCCCGUCCUUGUCGUCCAUACGCAAUUAGUCCAUGUAUACAGCGAGGGUUUGUGAACACGGUGGCAGCAGUUUCGAGGCCACGGUCAUGGCAGUGGGAAUUCAUUACAGGAGGAUGGCUCACCGGCGUCACGUGCAGAGGGUCGGAGAGAGAGAGGGGAGGAAUGGGUGCAUGGUUUCGUGGUCAUUUCUGAGGACUGCCCAGCUGUAGGGCCGCGGUCUGCCGCUCGGUCUCGUCUUUUACUCCAUCUCUUUCCACACAUACGCCUCCUCUCUUUAUUUCUGUUGCUGUUCCUUUGUUCAUGGCAGACCCACACCCCACUACUCUCUCUCAUCUCUUAUUCCGGGAGAGGGUAAUCAUUUCCUUCAUCAUCACCUCCUAUUGCUGCCUCCGCUUGACUGCCCUCCCUUCCCCCAUGAAAGGAGGCGGAAGUGUUGGGGGAGAGAGGAGGAGGAGGAGGAGGAGGAGGCGGCGGCAAAGGCUGGAUGACCCGGGAAAGGGAAGGACAUGCAGCUCAAGGAGAAGGAAAAAAGGAAGCUUUAUCCUUGAGGGGAAUGUUGUCUGGCUCGAGGUCCUUCGUUUCUCUUACAGAUUAUGCAGAUCUAUGUGAAGAGAUCUCGGACCAGGCUUCAUUCCCCCCAACGAUCGCUUCCGUCUCUCCACCUCUCGAUCCCCGGCACCGAUCGUUCGAUCGACUUGGUUGCGUCUCUAUCUUCGGCUCCCCUCUUCUCUUACUGUGGCUGACACCUUUUCUUUCUUCUCGUUGAGCAGAUAGAUUGGCGUAAUGAUGGGGGUUUACGACUGUCUUUCUUUCUUUCGCGACCUUCUUGUCCAGAUUUCAUCCUGACAUGAGGCCAAAAAGCUUUCAUCAUGACCUCCUCCGAGGGGUUUCUCGUGUUUGCCUUCCUCCUUGCUCCCUGCGAAUCUGCAUGCUGAGUUACCUGCAAGAUUUCCAGGUCAACUGAGUUCAGAUCUCUUUUUCUCCCUUUUGCUUGGGGGCACGUUUCAGCUCAUCUCUUCUCUUCUUUUCUCGUGCUUGUCUGCCGGAACUGUUUAGGGUUCCUAAGAUUAUCUCUAUCUGUGGUUACAUGUUACUCUGCCACUGCCAUGAUAGCUACAAUAUGGCUUAUCUCUUAUCUACAUCAUGCUUUCCUCUUAGCACACUAGAAGAAUCUUUGGACAUGGAAGCAUAUGGUGCCCCUUCCAUUUUGAUACACAGGUGAUUAGGGCACAGUUGCUGGAAAUGUGAUUAGUUGAUGGCAUUUGCCGUCUUGAAACCCCCCCUUUAUCCUUAUAUGGCAGUACAUGUUUCUGCCUAUAUAUUGCCUUGUUGAAACCUGAAUCCACGACAUGUAUGUGUCGUCGUCGUCGUCGUCGUCGUCUUUGACAUACGCAUGUUGACUUCACGUCAUAUUUAUUCCCAUAAAUCUACAAGUGCAAACCUGCUCGAUAUCUUCUUUGAUGGAAACAAGAUGCACGAUCACAUGAACAGCAGUUGUCAUUGCCAUUCCCAUUGCCUAGUUUGCUUGUGCAGCUGAAGGAGGAAAGGCAUAGGCGCAGCAUGAAUCUGGAAACACGUGUGUGGGAAAGGUGGCCAUCCGAAUGAGGUACGGAGGGAUGGGAGAGGCAGAGAGGGGGCUCAGACCACAGCUUAGGGUUUCGUUCGAACACAGGAGGCAGAGAUGGCAGCUUUCGAUUCGGAGACUCCCACACGGAACCAGAAAACCUCAGCCUUUCACUCCCAAUACUUUCCUUGCGAUAGAGAUGGAUUUUGACUGUUUUGUUGAAGGUCAACUUAAGCUUUUGUGGGAAUCGAUGAUGUUUGACUUUGAUUUUGGGGUUCCAUGAAGAGAAGAGCAUUGGAAAUGAUGGACUCUCCUACCUUUCUUUCUCAUCUUCCUUGGCGUGGAUCAGAUCAUCCGCCACCUCCUCAGGUUCAUGAUAUUGAAGUAGCGUUGCGAGGAUUCCUCACCGCUGAAGUAAUUAAUGCAUGUUAUAUGGGUUCCUAAGAGUACUAUUUCUUCUCUUAUUCUUGUAUGUUUGAGUUGAAAUAUCAUUUUAUUGCUCUCCUGUUGUACUACGAUGUAGACUAUACCUUAGCCAAAUCUUUUUUGCAUUGAUGGA